RNAcentral lists this ribosomal RNA (468 nucleotides) under uncultured bacterium. RNAcentral's name for it is "partial 16S ribosomal RNA". It matches the Rfam family "Bacterial small subunit ribosomal RNA", at positions 28 to 507 of the family's 1533-position model. The record is from RNAcentral.
GACGAACGCUGGCGGCGUGCUUAACACAUGCAAGUCGAACGGAAAGGCCCUGCUUUUGUGGGGUGCUCGAGUGGCGAACGGGUGAGUAACACGUGAGUAACCUGCCCUUGACUUUGGGAUAACUUCAGGAAACUGGGGCUAAUACCGGAUAGGAGCUCCUGCUGCAUGGUGGGGGUUGGAAAGUUUCGGCGGUUGGGGAUAGACUCGCGGCUUAUCCGCUUGUUGGUGGGGUAGUGGCUUUCCAAGGUUUUGACGGGUAGCCGGCCUGAGAGGGUGACCGGCCACAUGAGGCCUGAGAUACGGCCCAGACUCCUACGGGACGCAGCAGGGGGGAAUAUUGCAGAAUGGGCGGAAGCCAGAUGCAGCAACGCCGCGUGCGGGAUGACGGCCUUCGGGUUGUAAACCGCUUUCGCCGGUGACGAAGCGUGAGUGACGGUAAUGGGUAAAGAAGCACCGGCUAACUACGUG